AAUAAAUAAUAUUCGCAUACUCGUAUAUGCUGGAAAAUAUGGUUCCAGUGUUUCUACCAGACAGCCGCAAACUGUUUGACUACGGGUGUUUAUAUGAUAAUU
This 102-nucleotide non-coding RNA is filed under the name Clostridium colicanis DSM 13634. Its description in RNAcentral is "Purine riboswitch aptamer". It matches the Rfam family "Purine riboswitch aptamer". From Rfam's summary of the family: Riboswitches are metabolite binding domains within certain messenger RNAs that serve as precision sensors for their corresponding targets. Allosteric rearrangement of mRNA structure is mediated by ligand binding, and this results in modulation of gene expression. Lineage: Bacteria; Bacillati; Bacillota; Clostridia; Eubacteriales; Clostridiaceae. The record is from Rfam by way of RNAcentral.